AUCUUCGGGGCGGGGUGAAAUUCCCCACCGGCGGUAAAGUCCGCGAACGCAUUGCGUAAGAUUCGGUGAAAUUCCGAAACCGACGGUAUAGUCCGGAUGAAAGAAGAU
RNAcentral lists this non-coding RNA (108 nucleotides) under human gut metagenome. RNAcentral describes it as "FMN riboswitch (RFN element)". It matches the Rfam family "FMN riboswitch aptamer (RFN element)". From Rfam's summary of the family: The RFN element is a highly conserved domain that is found frequently in the 5'-untranslated regions of prokaryotic mRNAs that encode for flavin mononucleotide (FMN) biosynthesis and transport proteins. This element is a metabolite-dependent riboswitch that directly binds FMN in the absence of proteins. The record is from RNAcentral.